Molecule: long non-coding RNA, 505 nt
Filed under: Cairina moschata (Muscovy duck)
Lineage: Eukaryota; Metazoa; Chordata; Aves; Anseriformes; Anatidae
Description: domestica (muscovy Duck (domestic type)) lncRNA (ENSCMMG00000000035.1)
Source: RNAcentral
AUGCUACAGGAGACCCAGCCUCAGCUGGAAGCAGCGGUGGAGCAUCGGGGCUUUCUGCCAGGGGAGGCAGGCAGUGGAAGAAAUGCUCUCCCCACUCAUUCCCUGAGUUGUGCAACUGUCUCUCCAGGAAGGGGAAAUGUCUGCAGCCUAUGCAAUCCCUGCUGUCUCUGGUGGGCUAACGUUGAGGUGCUGCUCUUGAGAGGUGCUGAAUGGCCCUUGGACUUGAAGAAUAUCCUGAAUUUCCUCCGUCUUCAGUAACAGAAGAAAAUACUCAACACCAGUUCACUCUACAUUCUGUGUCAUCACCUGGCUCCUUUCUGACAAUUGUCCUGUCUUGACCACAAGGAUAAGGAGACGGACAUCUGCUUAGCUCCUCACUUAGAAAGCUAGAGGCCUUCAAGAAGGUAAGGUAGCUUGUGUAGCAAAGAAAACCUGAACCUGAGAGGUGAACAGUGAUGGUGAUGGCACUCUGCAAAGAGUAAGGGAAACCAGAAAGAAGCAUGGG